Molecule: long non-coding RNA, 1473 nt
Filed under: Monodelphis domestica (gray short-tailed opossum)
Lineage: Eukaryota; Metazoa; Chordata; Mammalia; Didelphimorphia; Didelphidae
Description: lncRNA (ENSMODG00000047516.1)
Source: RNAcentral
CCCUGACUUAUUAACAAAUGAUGUCUUGGCACAGAGCUAGGACACCUGUGUGAAAAUGAUGGCUACUUCAUCAGAACUCUGAGCAUGCCAGGAGCCCCUCAGGAUACCUUAGAAACUGGAUAGGUAGGCUGCUUAGUCACAUGCAUACCAGACAAAAGAGAAGUUUACGGAAGCCCUGAAGCAAAACUUGAGGGAAUGCUGCCCUGAUGGGGAGGUGGUAGCAAGUCUGCAGACGGACCUAGGACACCACCCAAGAUGGAAGGGAAGUUUUGGAGGCCCUCAAGGUCCAUCUCAGGAAGCCAAGUCUGAAACUGACAAAGCAGAAAUGGACUAGAUCAACAGCAGCAUCCAGGGCUGGAAAUAAAAGCGUGACUUUGAGAACUGCUGAUGACUCCUUGAUUUAGACUAUAUUUAUUUGUAGAACACAUUAAAGGAGUAAUCUUGUAGGACAUUAAUCCCCAGUCGAAUUUUCCAAUAGUUUGAACACAAGUCCAAUUUGCAUCAUUUGUAAGUUGGGGGACCCCUUCUGAGUCUAUAGAAAAUUUCCUUCAAGGGAAAUAAACUUUUCAUGACCAACAACAGAUGAUGAAAGAAAAACUUUUGGUGAAAACAAAUCCUAUUUUGGUCUCAUCUAGCAAUUCUUUUUUUCAAAGACUUCCCAAAUAUUUUCAUAUAGAGCUUGUUUGAAACCAUUUAGGAAAGGACUAUCAUUCUAUCCCUCCAAGUGCAAAAGAAAAGGAAAACUUACUCAAGCCUAUUUUUGCUUUCUUCCUUGGAAUCCAAUAUAAGCCUGGCUCCAGAGGAGAAGAAGCACACAGCUGCCAAUGACCCGAAACAGUUGUUGGCAGAGGGCUGUCACACUCCCUUUACACUCUUGCUCCAGAGCUGGUUGGGCCAUAAUGACAGGAAAGAUUUGUGGCUAUACCCAGGACCCAGACAGAGGCGUCUUUAUUGCUCCCAGUUGUUAGUUACAUUUAUGUAUAUUUUGUGACUGACCUUAUUAACACACAUUUCUGCAUUUUUAAUAGAGAACACUAUAGUAGAACUCUUCAUUUGUCAUUGAACAUGUACUUCGUUGGGAUAAUUCUUGAUUUAUUAAAAGAACUUUUCAUUUGUCAUUUCCUUGAUUAGGUUGUGGAUGUGUUUUGUUUGUAUUCUCCAUCACACUUACACUAAAAUCUUGCUAUAUCAGACGUUUGAUACAUUGAUUGUUUCAUUCAUUCACAAAUAUUCCUUGGGAAUCCUUUGAGACAGGCCUUUUGGCAGAUGAUUGAAGACUAAGAGCUCCUUUCUCCAAGGAGUUACAAGGAAGGGGAGCGAUCACGGGAGUCAGUGUUUCUCAAAGAAUGAAAGCAUAAUGGAGGGGGAUGCAGUUUUAAUACUUUCCAUAAUGUGAAAGGUACGAUUGACAUUUGAAUGUUCUUAACAUUCUCUUCAUUUAAUAAACAUGAAUUAUUAUUUCCCCUAAUCCCA